GAUGAACGCUGGCGGCGUGCCUAAUACAUGCAAGUCGAGCGAACCACUUCGGUGGUGAGCGGCGAACGGGUGAGUAACACGUAGGUGAUCUGCCCAUCAGACGGGGACAACGAUUGGAAACGAUCGCUAAUACCGGAUAGGACGAAAGUUUAAAGGUGCUUCUGGCACCGCUGAUAGAUGAGCCUGCGGCGCAUUAGCUAGUCGGUAGGGUAAAGGCCUACCAAGGCGACGAUGCGUAGCCGACCUGAGAGGGUGAACGGCCACACUGGGACUGAGACACGGCCCAGACUCCUACGGGAGGCAGCAGUAGGGAAUCUUCGGCAAUGGGCGAAAGCCUGACCGAGCAACGCCGCGUGAAUGAUGAAGGCCUUCGGGUUGUAAAAUUCUGUUAUAAGGGAAGAACGACUUUAGUAGGAAAUGGCUAGAGUGUGACGGUACCUUAUGAGAAAGCCACGGCUAACUACGUGCCAGCAGCCGCCGUAA
This 483-nucleotide ribosomal RNA is filed under the name uncultured bacterium. RNAcentral's name for it is "partial 16S ribosomal RNA". It matches the Rfam family "Bacterial small subunit ribosomal RNA", at positions 28 to 523 of the family's 1533-position model. The record is from RNAcentral.